CCCUUAGAUGUCCGGGGCCGCACGCGCGCUACACUGAAGGAAUCAGCGUGGCUUUCUCCCUGACCCGAAAGGGUUGGGAAACCCGUUGAAUCUCCUUCGUGAUAGGGAUUGGGGCUUGAAAUUGUUCCCCAUGAACGAGGAAUUCCCAGUAAGCGCGAGUCAUAAGCUCGCGUUGAUUACGUCCCUGCCCUUUGUACACACCGCCCGUCGCUACUACCGAUUGGAUGGUUUAGCGAGAACUUUGGACCGGAGCUCGGGUGGUCAGCAAUGGUCGCCCGAGAUGUCUGGGAAAUCGUUCCAGCUUGAUCAUCUAGAGGAAGUAAAAGUCGUAACA
Molecule: ribosomal RNA, 334 nt
Filed under: uncultured eukaryote
Lineage: Eukaryota
Description: partial 18S ribosomal RNA
Rfam family: Eukaryotic small subunit ribosomal RNA
Source: RNAcentral